Long non-coding RNA from Pan troglodytes (chimpanzee), 372 nucleotides. RefSeq lists it as uncharacterized. NCBI's taxonomy places the organism in Eukaryota, Metazoa, Chordata, Mammalia, Primates, Hominidae. The record is from RefSeq and is a predicted model, not a curated record. The transcript has 3 exons.
GUCCAAUAACAUUUAAUGGAACCUGAUAUAGUCUGGCUCUGUGUCCACACCCAAAUCUUAUGCUGAAUUGUGAUACUGAGUGUUGGAGAUGUGCUUGUUUCCCCUUCGCCCUUCUGAUGCCAUGAUUGUAAGUUUCCUGAGGCCUUCCAAGCCAUGCUUCUUGUACAGCCUGUUGAAAUAGGAAUAUGAUGCUGCCAGAUUUUACUUCAGGAUGAAUUCAUUGAUGGAAUUAGGAGGGGAAGUUCAACUGCUGCUGGACUGAGCCAGCGUCGCAUCCUCUGGAACAGGAAUCUCCUGCCUGCUUAGCACUAGCCAACUUUGCCAUUGGUCUUUCUCUCUAGUGUAUUAUCCCACACUAUUUAUUGUUUUUGA